Molecule: RNA transcript, 847 nt
Organism: Mandrillus leucophaeus (drill)
Lineage: Eukaryota; Metazoa; Chordata; Mammalia; Primates; Cercopithecidae
Gene name: chromobox protein homolog 3 pseudogene
Exons: 1
Source: RefSeq, a predicted model, not a curated record
UGCAGACCUGCGACCCAGAGCACCUCGGAGGCGGUGAAUAAUAGCUCUUCAAGUCUGCAAUAAAAAAUGGCCUCCAAUAAAACUACAUUGCAAAAAAUGGGAAAAAAAAAAAAAAAACCCAGAAUGGAAAGAGUAAAAAAGUUGAAGAGGCAGAGCCAGAAGAAUUUGUGGUGGAAAAAGUACUAGAUCGACGUGUAGUGAAUGGGGAAAGUGGAAUAUUUCCUGAAGUGGAAGGGAUUUACAGAUGCUGACAAUACUUGGGAACCUGAAGAAAAUUUAGAUUGUCCAGAGUUGAUCGAAGCAUUUCUUAACUCUCAGAAAGCUGGCAAAGAAAAAGAUGGUACAAAAAGAAAAUCUUUAUCUGACAGUGAAUCUGAUGACAGCAAAUCAUAGAAGAAAAGAGAUGCUGCUGACAAACCAAGAGGAUUUGCCAGAGGUCUUCAUCCUGAAAGAAUAAUUGAUGCCACAGACAGCAGUGGAGAAUUGAUGUUUCUUAUGAAAUGGAAAGAUGAGGCAGACUUGGUGCUAGUGAAAGAGGCAAAUAUGAAGUGUCGUGAAAUUGUAAUUGCUUUUUAUGAAGAGAGACUAACUUGGCAUUCUUGUCCAGAAGAUGAAGCUCAAUAAUUGUUCACAUUGUGUAUAUAUAUAUAUAUAUAAAAUUUGGGUCUUGGAUUUUGAUUUACUAGUGUGACGAAAUAACUACAUCCUAAUGAAAAUCAAGUUUGAUAUGUUUGUUUUGAAAGUAGCAUUGGAAGAGUUGUUGGGAAUUUUUUUUGCAUCCACAGCACUGGUUACUUUGAACAAAUAAAUAAAAGCUUUCUGUAGUUGCUUCCUUUAUCAGAAAAGA